This is a long non-coding RNA of Melospiza melodia melodia, 188 nucleotides long. RefSeq lists it as uncharacterized. NCBI's taxonomy places the organism in Eukaryota, Metazoa, Chordata, Aves, Passeriformes, Passerellidae. The record is from RefSeq and is a predicted model, not a curated record. The transcript is spliced from 3 exons.
GCAUUGAAAAGGAGAAGAAGUCUCCUGGCCCUGUUUAUUUCAUAAGAGACAAGAGGAUUUCCCAUUCCCAAACCUCAUCUGGAUGGAGAAGGCUGUGAAGAAGAGGAAGAUGCCCCAGGGCACUGAGGCAGGGAAGGAGCUGAGGAUGGAGACCAGGGAGGACAAAUCCCCAUGGCAGAACCUUGUGG